GACGAACGCUGGCGGCGUGCCUAAUACAUGCAAGUCGAACGCUUCUUUCCUCCCGAGUGCUUGCACUCAAUUGGAAAGAGGAGUGGCGGACGGGUGAGUAACACGUGGGUAACCUACCCAUCAGAGGGGGAUAACACUUGGAAACAGGUGCUAAUACCGCAUAACAGUUUAUGCCGCAUGGCAUAAGAGUGAAAGGCGCUUUCGGGUGUCGUUGAUGGAUGGACCCGCGGUGCAUUAGCUAGUUGGUGAGGUAACGGCUCACCAAGGCCACGAUGCAUAGCCGACCCGAGAGGGUGAUCGGCCACACUGGGACUGAGACACGGCCCAGACUCCUACGGGAGGCAGCAGUAGGGAAUCUUCGGCAAUGGACGAAAGUCUGACCGAGCAACGCCGCGUGAGUGAAGAAGGUUUUCGGAUCGUAAAACUCUGUUGUUAGAGAAGAACAAGGACGUUAGUAACUGAACGUCCCCUGACGGUAUCUAACCAGAAAGCCACGGCUAACUACGUG
RNAcentral lists this ribosomal RNA (508 nucleotides) under uncultured bacterium. RNAcentral describes it as "partial 16S ribosomal RNA". It matches the Rfam family "Bacterial small subunit ribosomal RNA", at positions 28 to 507 of the family's 1533-position model. The record is from RNAcentral.